This 1430-nucleotide long non-coding RNA is filed under the name Marmota monax (woodchuck). Lineage: Eukaryota; Metazoa; Chordata; Mammalia; Rodentia; Sciuridae. The record is from RNAcentral.
GCUCAGAGAGAGCCCCUGCCAAGCCACUUCCAUCCCGAGACAAGGGGUGUCUAGAAGGAUACUGGCUGUUCUGUCCUUCCAGUUCAUCUCUGUCCCCUUCCUUCCCCCUCCUUGAUUCCCUCCACCCAGCUGAAGGUGACCCCAUGCUUUGGCUGUCUGAUAACAUGAAGUUGACAAAAAUAUGCCGUUGAGCAAGAGCCCGACACGUGUCAUUCUAGCCUGAUUUCCUGCAUCCUCCGAGUCCUGCGUAUUGGUCAAUUUUGAGACUCAGGAUUCAGAAUGAGUUUUGUGUUAGCUCGUCGGGUGGCUCGGUUUUACCUUAUCCACCAGGACCACUUCCUGGCCUUAGGUCCUGUCAUCCAUGUGGCUGAAACCACACCAAGCCCUACUCCCCUGAGAGAGAAGCCUACAAACAUAAGAGAAUGCAAGUAACAUUCGCCCCCUCUUGAUCACACGAGGAGGGAACAGCUUUAUCCUGCAACUGAUAGUUUCCUUGCAAAAACCACCUGGAUUCCUGCUGCAACCUCUAGGAUCAGAGUCGACCAGGCUGCAAAUUUGGGCAAGCACCGUAGGACCUGCGGCUUAUCUUUCAAUAACUGUUAGUUAAGAGUAGUGUUCUGACCAGGCCAUCUUUUUUCAAAUUAGUUUUUUUUUUUCCCUAAAGUGUAUCCAUUUUCCGAGUACACGGAUCUAACUGCACAUCUGACUUGGUCCACAGUGACUCCUGUGGCACACACACAGUCUUCCAGCUUCAGCGAGACUUUGCGCUUGCUCUUCCCCCGAGAUGUCAGUCAUCGACAACGUGCAACGGGGAUUGCGGAUCAAGAGCACUAUCCCCGUGGGCAUGCGAGAAACGGAAGGUUUAAGGUUUGCAUAUACCUAAGUAAUGAGCAUGGGCUUUUGGUGACAUUUUCUGGUCAGGGCUGGCCAGCCAGCCCGCCAAUAGGUUUGCCGAAACCAACACCAGGAAAUCCAGCAAAGCAAAGAGCAGUUUAAAGCUGCAGAAGAAGGGAAAAUAUAAAUUGAAACCUCACUUUUCCUAGAACUGCUUCUCUGGCUGCCCUGGCUAAGAGAGGAGGAGAGAAGGAAAACAAAGGGAUAUUUCAACAGUCAAAAUGGAAGGGACGAAGCCAAUGCACCGGAUAUCACAGACCAGGAGAGGCGGCCCCCAAAUAAACAAUGAUCACCUGGGGUGGAGAGAAAGACAGUCUUGGAAAGACUAAGGUAAAGCAAACCUGUGCAGAGGCAAAAUGUCCAGCACUCAAGAGACCUCACGCACCUAUCACCCAACAGUCUAGAAAAGGCAGUGACGCGGGGUAGGUCCUCAAUCCACACGCACCUGAAUAGUGACCCAAGACUUCAGUAAAAACAGAAAUUGUAUUUUAAUAUAAAUUUUGAUUUGGCAUGAUUAGAAGUAGGGUAACUUUUCU